Molecule: long non-coding RNA, 229 nt
Organism: Cervus elaphus (red deer)
Lineage: Eukaryota; Metazoa; Chordata; Mammalia; Artiodactyla; Cervidae
Exons: 3
Source: RefSeq, a predicted model, not a curated record
GGCUCUCAAAAGAACAGACCUCUGCGGUGCAGCCAAUAGGAAGAGGAGGUGAAGGAAAGACGGUUUCAGCUGUACCUCUGGAGUAUCUGGAGAUUAAAGUCAGCAAUGCAGGUGGUCAACCAUGUCAAUAUGAGCUGAGUCCCAAUAAAAAUUCUGGACACCAUGGUUCAAACAACUACUUUAGAACUGUGGUGUUGGAGAAGACUCUUGAGAGCCCCUUGGACUGCAA